UAUCGUAAUUGAAGAGGUUUGGAAAGACCCACCACAGAAGGUAAUAGUCCUGUAUGUUAAACGAGAAGACUUUAGAUAUGAUCCAGAGUACCACGGGACACGUGAAACCCUGUGGGAAGCAGGAGGGACCACCCUCCAAGGCUAAAUACUACCUAGUGACCGAUAGCGUAUAGUACCGUGAGGGAAAGGUGAAAAGAACCCCGGGAGGGGAGUGAAAUAGAACCUGAAACCCUGCACUUACAAGCUGUGGAAGCACAUUUCUUGUGUGACCGCGUACUUUUUGUAGAACGGGCCAACGAGUUACGUUAAGUAGCAAGGUUAAGCACUUAAGGUGCGGAGCCGUAGCGAAAGCGAGUUUUAACUGAGCGUUCAGUUACUUGACGUAGACCCGAAACCGGGCGACCUACCCAUGAGCAGGAUGAAGCGAAAGUAAAAUUUCGUGGAGGUCCGAACCCACGAGCGUUGAAAAGCUCGGGGAUGACUUGUGGGUAGCGGUGAAAUUCCAAUCGAGCCCGGAGAUAGCUGGUUCUCCCCGAAAUAGCUUUAGGGCUAGCCUCAAGGUGAGAGAUACGGAGGUAGAGCACUG
This 586-nucleotide ribosomal RNA is filed under the name Clostridioides difficile. RNAcentral's name for it is "partial 23S ribosomal RNA". It matches the Rfam family "Bacterial large subunit ribosomal RNA", at positions 325 to 912 of the family's 2925-position model. The record is from RNAcentral. Lineage: Bacteria; Bacillati; Bacillota; Clostridia; Peptostreptococcales; Peptostreptococcaceae.